GAUGAACGCUGGCGGCGUGCUUAACACAUGCAAGUCGAACGGAAAGGCCGAAGCUUGCUUCGGUACUCGAGUGGCGAACGGGUGAGUAACACGUGGGUGAUCUGCCCUGUACUUCGGGAUAAGCUUGGGAAACUGGGUCUAAUACCGGAUAUGACAAUCUCUUGGGUGGUGUUGUGGAAAUCUUUUGCGGUAUGGGGUGAGCUGGGGGCCUAUCAGCUUGUUGGUGGGGUAAUGGCCUACCAAGGCGUCGACGGGUAGCCGGCCUGGGAGGUGUACGGCCACAUUGGGACUGAGAUACGGCCCAGACUCCUACGGGAGGCAGCAGUGGGGAAUAUUGCACAAUGGGCGCAAGCCUGAUGCAGCGACGCCGCGUGGGGGAUGACGGCCUUCGGGUUGUAAACUCCUUUCGCAACCGACGAAGCUUUUGUGACGGUAGGUUGAGAAGAAGCACCGGCUAACUACGUG
This 465-nucleotide ribosomal RNA is filed under the name uncultured bacterium. Its description in RNAcentral is "partial 16S ribosomal RNA". It matches the Rfam family "Bacterial small subunit ribosomal RNA", at positions 28 to 507 of the family's 1533-position model. The record is from RNAcentral.